GCCGCAGUAGCUCAGUUGGUAGAGCACGUCAUUCGUAAUGAUGGGGUCGGGGGUUCGAGUCCCUCCUGCGGCACCA
This 76-nucleotide transfer RNA is filed under the name Hyphomicrobiales bacterium. Its description in RNAcentral is "Rhizobiales bacterium tRNA-Thr". It matches the Rfam family "tRNA". Rfam says of the family: Transfer RNA (tRNA) molecules are approximately 80 nucleotides in length. Their secondary structure includes four short double-helical elements and three loops (D, anti-codon, and T loops). Further hydrogen bonds mediate the characteristic L-shaped molecular structure. tRNAs have two regions of fundamental functional importance: the anti-codon, which is responsible for specific mRNA codon recognition, and the 3' end, to which the tRNAs corresponding amino acid is attached (by aminoacyl-tRNA synthetases). tRNAs cope with the degeneracy of the genetic code in two manners: having more than one tRNA (with a specific anti-codon) for a particular amino acid; and 'wobble' base-pairing, i.e. permitting non-standard base-pairing at the 3rd anti-codon position. RNAcentral also lists the same sequence under 1 other name. The record is from RNAcentral. Lineage: Bacteria; Pseudomonadati; Pseudomonadota; Alphaproteobacteria; Hyphomicrobiales.